GGUGAAAUUCUCAGAUUAACUAAAGACUAACUUAUGCGAAAGCAUUUGCCAAGGAUGUUUUCAUUAAUCAAGAACGAAA
This 79-nucleotide ribosomal RNA is filed under the name uncultured eukaryote. Its description in RNAcentral is "partial small subunit ribosomal RNA". It matches the Rfam family "Eukaryotic small subunit ribosomal RNA", at positions 910 to 988 of the family's 1831-position model. The record is from RNAcentral.